GAUGAACGCUAGCUACAGGCUUAACACAUGCAAGUCGAGGGGAAACGGGAGGAUAGCUUGCUAUCUUCGCCGUCGACCGGCGCACGGGUGAGUAACGCGUAUCCAACCCGCCAUCCAGCGGAGGAUAGCCUUUCGAAAGAAAGGAUAAUACUCCAUGACCUCCUCAGAGGACAUCUGACGAGGAGCAAAGAUUUAUAGCUGGUUGAUGGGAUGCGUCUGAUUAGGCAGUUGGCGGGGUAACGGCCCACCAAACCGACGAUCAGUAGGGGUUCUGAGAGUAAGGUCCCCCACAUUGGAACUGAGACACGGUCCAAACUCCUACGGGAGGCAGCAGUGAGGAAUAUUGGUCAAUGGACGUAAGUCUGAACCAGCCAAGUAGCGUGCAGGAUGACGGCCCUAUGGGUUGUAAACUGCUUUUAUGCGGGGGUAAAGUGAGUGACGUGUCAUUCAUUGCAAGUACCGCAAGAAUAAGGACCGGCUAAUUCCGUGCCAGCCGCCGCGGUAA
RNAcentral lists this ribosomal RNA (505 nucleotides) under uncultured bacterium. RNAcentral describes it as "partial 16S ribosomal RNA". It matches the Rfam family "Bacterial small subunit ribosomal RNA", at positions 28 to 523 of the family's 1533-position model. The record is from RNAcentral.